This 69-nucleotide transfer RNA is filed under the name Smittia aterrima. Its description in RNAcentral is "tRNA-Leu". RNAcentral also lists the same sequence under 1 other name. Lineage: Eukaryota; Metazoa; Arthropoda; Insecta; Diptera; Chironomidae. The record is from RNAcentral.
ACUAUUUUGGCAGAUAAUUGUAAUAAAUUUAGAAUUUAUUUAUAUAAUAUUAAUAUAUUAUAAAUAGUA